RNAcentral lists this unclassified non-coding RNA (254 nucleotides) under fungal sp. RNAcentral's name for it is "partial internal transcribed spacer region". The stretch from base 1 to 46 matches the Rfam family "Eukaryotic small subunit ribosomal RNA", at positions 1786 to 1831 of the family's 1831-position model. Lineage: Eukaryota; Fungi. The record is from RNAcentral.
AAGUCGUAACAAGGUUUCCGUAGGUGAACCUGCGGAAGGAUCAUUAACAAUUCUCCAAUACAAAUAAACCUCUGUGAACCGACUUCAGGCUGGGUUGCAUCUCUGGAUGCUUCAAAGUCCCGCUGAGGUAUUCGAGUGCGGAAUUGCAGUAGCCUUCGUGGUUGCUGUAAGUACCACUCACAUAGACUAUUACGUUUGACUAAAUCGUACAUUAAUAAUGUAUACAACUUUUAACAGUGGAUCUCUUGGCUCCU